UAAAGGGGUGCUUUGUGUUUUAAUAUAAAUAAAGAGUCCCAAAAAUCUAACAAGAGGGGAUACUCAUUUUACACCAUCAGAUUUUGAGAGAGGGGUGUAACCCUAAUUUUGUUCUUCUCUCGUUCUCUCUUUUACAGACACCAGCCGCCCCCUCCCAAGCUCUCAUCUCUCUCAUUUCUCCAAUAAUGGUUGCCGCCCAGCCCCUCUAUAUUCCCUCUCUCUAAAAGUUUGAUGCCGCCGCCGCUUUCCGGCGAGCUUGGCUGGCCGGCAAACAACUAGUGCAAACCCCAUCGCCGACCCUACUAUUCAUGUCACCUCCUCUCUCCGUCUCUGUCUCUUCAUGCGUAUAACACACAGAUCUAGAGAAAAUAUACUCGUCGGAGGAAUGAAACUCCACUGAAAGUGGCGGAUCUGGUGUUUGGCCGGAGUCUUAGCCGGAAAAUUGGGUCUGGCAGCCUAUACACGUCCCGGUAGUUGCUCACUGCCUCUUUGACGAAGAUUCAUCUCAUCCGUUGCGUCAACACUAGUGACUUAGCUAUUGUUAUUCAUCGUCGAGUACUUUUGACAUUCUACGGGUGGUUCAGGUAUCAAUACUUUGUUGUGUUACUUUAAUGCAUAUUCAUUUCAUUAGGUGUCAUUCUAAUGCCUUUGUUGUCAGAACUUUUUCAGUUAUGUUAAGCUUGAAUUGACCAUUUAGUUCGCUUGGUCAUUACUAACCUAAAUGCUUGAUUUUGUCUCUAUUCAUUUGGUUAUUCCAUCAAUAAGCAACAUUAAUUACGUAAGAAGAGUUUGCUGGAAAUCUAUUAUUGGCCAUCCAUGUUGGACACUAUCAUGGCUUUUUCUUAGAUUAUUGUUGUUUUCACAUUGCUGUGUGAUUUCAAUGUUAUUGAGCAGAUGCUACAUUGAUUAUGCUUUGGCCGAUGAGAAAAUAACCCCGAGUUAUUGAGGCCACGACCCUUGGAAUAACCCUCGGACCGGGUCCGAAAUAACGAGGUGAUGAUGAUAAAUAUCAGAAAAAGAAAAAAAACGAGAACACAAACCAACAACCUAUAGUUGGCGAUACGGUUGGCCACCGGAGUUUCUACCGAGGCGGUUCCCGUUUUCAUGUCUUGGUGUAUAUCGGAUAUUACAUGUAUCUGAUCCUCCUAUAUUAUCUUUUAAACUAUUUUCCAAAACUAUUUUCAAAAACAAUUUCUCACAAAACAUUUUUUCAAAUAAAAGCAUUUCAGAAAAUAAAUUAGUCUAUUAUUUACCUAAUAUUUUACUAAUAAUUUUACUUCUCUUGUCUUGCGAGGUACUAUCAUACGGAGUUACUCUCGGAAGAUGACACUCGAAGAUGAAAAGACAAAUCCCAUCAAAGUUUCCCGCUUCGUACUUCUCGUUCUCGGAUGUAUUAAAAAAUACAAGUAUUGUAAUGACCCGACCGAUCGUUCUGAGAAUUAAUGUCCCGAUCGGCGGCAUAAGGUCCUGAGCAGCUUCGUAUUAUGUAUAUUGUCUUGCGUGCGUGGUUGAAUUCAGUUACAGGAUGAUUCAGAGUGAAUUAGAACACUUAGUCCCUAAAAGUGGAAUCUUAAGUCUUAGGAUUUUGACAAUAAUUGGAACUGUGUGAAGACAACUCCGGAAUGGAGUUUCACCGGCUCUGUUAUCUCCGUUGGGAGAUUUUAGACUUAGGUGUGUGUCCGGAUUGUGUUUUGGAGGUCUGUAGCUCAUUUAGGCUUGAAAAGGCGAAAGUCGAAUUUUUGGAGAUUUUGACCGGUAGUGGACUUUUUGAUAUCGGGGUCGGAAUCCGAUUUCAGAAGUUGGNNNNNNNNNNNNNNNNNNAGAAAUUUUAAAGUUUCAAUUUCAUUAAGUUUGAAUCGGAGGGUGAUUCGGGUUUUUAGCGUUGUUUGAUAUGAUUUGAGGGCUCAACUAAGUUCAUAUGGUGUUUUAGGACUUGUUGGUAUGUUUGUUUGAAGUCCCGAGGGCCUCGGGUGAGUUUCAGAUGCUUAACAGAUCCAAAUUUGGACUUGUGUAGUUGUUGAAGCUUUCAAGCUUCUGGUGUAAUCGCACCUGCGGUGGGGUGGCCGCAGGUGCGGACUCUCACGUGCUGAAGGGAUCUUGCAGAUGCGGCCCUGGUCUGGUUAACCGGUGGUCACAAGUGCGACAAAAGAUGCGCAGAAGCGGAGCCGCUCCUGCGGAGAAGGGAUCGUAGAAGCGGAAAGCGAGCUGAGUGAGGAUUCCGUAGAAGCGGACAAAAAUUCGCAGGCGCGCACUCGUAGGUGCGACCUUAUGCUCGCAUAAGUGGACCACAGGACGUAAGUCAUUUCCGCACCUGCGAUGGAAUUUCCGCAGGUGCGACUAGAAGCCUGCAGAAGCAAAAAUCGCUGGGCAGAAAAGGGCUAAGUGCGAUGGUUGAUUUCAUUCUCCAAUUUUGGACCUAGAGAGCUCGGAUUGAGGCAAAAUUUCGAGGGAUUUUCAGACGAAGCUUGUGGGUAACGAUUCUUAACUCUUUUAUGGGUAUAUCUCAUUAAUCUAUAGUUGAAUUCAUCAUUUAAUUAAGGAAUUUGGUUGAGCAAUUUGGGAAAAGAGAUGGAAAGUUCUUCAAAUAAAUUUUUGAGUUUUGAUUCGGAUUUUGAUAUCGGAUUUGGAUAAUUUUGGUACGAGUGAACUCAUGGUUGAUUGUGUAUUAGUAUUUUGUGAUUUUUAUCCGUUUCCAAGACAUGGGCCCGAGUCGACCUUUUGGGCCGAAUUUUCGAUUCUUUACUAAAGUCGUAGAUUUAUUAUUUAAAUUAGUUUCUCGUAAUUUUAUUCAUGAUAUGUAAUUGUGUUUGGCUAGAUUUGGGCCAUUCAGAGUCGGAUAAUCGAGGAAAGGGCAUUCUUACUGAUUGAUUGAGCUUGGUUCGAGGUAAGUAUCUUGCCUAACUUCAUGUGGGGAACUACCCCUUAGGAUUUGAGUCUUCUAUGCUAAUUGUAGUCUGUGUACGCGAGGUGACAAGAACAUGAUCAAACUUAUUUAUGGAAAGUUGGCCUUUUAGGGUUCUUAGGUCCUUGUAUUCACUGAUUAUGCAGUUGUUAUGUUAUGAAUACGUCUCUUAAUUACUAGUUUUACCUCUACCUGCUUUAAUUAGAAUUAAUUGCUUCAUGAUUCGCCCUUGAUGCAUAUUUGACUCAUCUGUGCCUUAACUGAAAUUGUUAUCUCUUCUAUUGCCAUGCUAUCUUUCCCCUAACUGCUUAUCUUUAUUUGAAGUUAUAAUUAUCUCUUUUGUAAUUGUUCAUCCUUAAUUGAGGCUAUGAUUAUCUUUCUGCUGCUUAUCCCUAAUUGAAUUUGUUGUAUCUCUUUCUUAAUUUGCCAACCUUAAAACGAAGUUAGAUAUCUUAUAUUUUAGUUGACUUGUCCUUAUUUAGAAUUAUUCGCCUUGUGUUAGCUCCCUCGUUAUUGAAUUGUACAUUGUGUACCGUUGUUGCAUAAUAUGUCCUUUCUUGUUUAGCUGUUCUUAUUAUGACUACCAUUCUCCAUUUUGGCCCCUCCUUGUGAAUUAAUUCCUCUGUUCCUUUGAGUUCUAGAAUUUCUGAGUUGAUUUAUUUGCCGUACUCUUGUAUUAGUGUUAUUGUUGAUGUUGUACUUGUUGUUUUUGCAUAUUUACUUUGGGACUACGAGGCGGUACCUCGGAAGAUCCUCCUUUCUUACAUAUUUACUUUGGGACUACGAGGCGGUACCUCGGGAGAUCCCCCUGUCUUGCAUAUUUACUUUUGGGACUACGAGGCGGUACCUCAGGAGAUCCCCUGUUGAGCAUUUACUUUUGGGACUACGAGACGAUAUCUCGGGAGUGCCUUUUGUUGACAUCUCUUUGUUAUGGGGUUGCACGAGGUUUCUGCAGUGCUAUUAUUAUUAUUGAUAUUUGCACAUGCGGCGUGACAAGGUGGGAUACAUAUAUGUGAGUUGCACAUGUGGCGAGACAAGGUGGGAACAUUAUUAUGCACGUGUGGCGAGAUAAGGCGGGCAUUUACUUUACCAUUGCACACGUGGCGAGACAAUGUGGGCUAUGUCAAGGAUUGAUUUGUGAUGGCAUGGAGGAAUUCUUGUUGUUGAUAUUUGUGUAGUGGUACACUUAUCUGUGUGAGCUUUAUCUUGUGAAAGUUGUGAGAAAAUAUUCUACGUGAUGUCCGUCCUAUUCCUUAUGCUCACUAGAUGGUAUGAACUAUGUUAGGACAUUUGCACAAACAUGCACGUAGUUAAGCACUCUUAUCGGAUAAGAGGUUUCCUUGAUAUUGUUGAGUAUAGAUGCAUACCGUUGCUUACUUGCCUUCUAUGUGAUAAUGGCACUAUUUGGCACGCGAGUCGUCAGUGCGGUUAUGUGGUGUAAUGAGGGCACAUGAUGCCAAGUGUUAGGGUUUAGGUAUUGAGGCACGUGAGUUGUAAUUUGUCCGAGGUUCAGUACCUCGUGGAGUUUAUUGACAAAAACCCAGUGUGGAAGCUGUCGUAUUGUUGAGUUGCUACUUGUCCUUUCUUUAUCUGUGAUUAUCGGACUUAGGCUGUGUUUCCGUUCAUUCUUCUAUGUCAUUAUUAUGGUGUUCCGCUGAUAGUGUUUUUUUUCCUUCCUUAUUGCAAUUACCGUAUUAAUUGCCACUUCGCGUAGUCUUUAUGUAGAUAUCAUACUCUGUUGUUUCUAUACUUAUACUUGUUCAGGUUAUUUAGUCCAGUAGGUGUCUUGACUGUACCUCGUCACUACUCCACUGAGGUUAGUCUUUAUACUUACUGGGAACCGCCGUGGUGUACUCGUACUAUACUUCCGCACAUUUUUGUGCAGAUCCAGGCAUUUUCAAAGUCAGUUGAUCAUUAGCUAGUUGUGCGGAUUGUUGCUGUGAAGACUCAAGAUAAACCUGAUGCUGCGUUCGCAGGCUUCGGAGUCACCUUAUGAUUUGUAUUCACACUGUUUACUUUAUUUAAAACAUUUGUAUUUAGAAAAUUGUAACAAACUCUGUAGAGCUUAUGACUUGUACUACCGGUUUUGGAAAUUAUAAAUUUUAUAGAGAUUUCUAUUUCAAAAGUUG
RNAcentral lists this long non-coding RNA (5031 nucleotides) under Nicotiana tabacum (common tobacco). RNAcentral describes it as "long non-coding RNA (NTAB_LNC006196)". Lineage: Eukaryota; Viridiplantae; Streptophyta; Magnoliopsida; Solanales; Solanaceae. The record is from RNAcentral.